CCUACGGGAGGCAGCAGUGGGGAAUAUUGGGCAAUGGAGGAAACUCUGACCCAGCGACGCCGCGUGCGGGAUGAAGGCCUUCGGGUUGUAAACCGCUUUCAGUAGGGAAGAAGCGAAAGUGACGGUACCUACAGAAGAAGCACCGGCUAACUAUGUGCCAGCAGCCGCGGUAAUACAUAGGGUGCAAGCGUUGUCCGGAAUUAUUGGGCGUAAAGAGCUCGUAGGUGGUUCGUCACGUCGGAUGUGAAAAUCUGGGGCUCAACCCCAGACCUGCAUUCGAUACGGGCGAUCUAGAGUGUGGUAGGGGAGACUGGAAUUCCUGGUGUAGCGGUGGAAUGCGCAGAUAUCAGGAGGAACACCAAUGGCGAAGGCAGGUCUCUGGGCCAUUACUGACACUGAGGAGCGAAAGCGUGGGGAGCGAACAGGAUUAGAUACCCUGGUAGUCCACGCCGUAAACGGUGGGCACUAGUUGUGGGAACCUUCCACGGUUUCUGCGACGCAGCUAACGCAUUAAGUGCCCCGCCUGGGGAGUACGANCGCAGAAUAAACUAACAAUAGAAGUAGACGCGUGAGACGUCGCCGACGACGACGACGAGGGAGGUUAGG
This 606-nucleotide ribosomal RNA is filed under the name uncultured bacterium. RNAcentral's name for it is "bacterial SSU rRNA". The stretch from base 1 to 524 matches the Rfam family "Bacterial small subunit ribosomal RNA", at positions 338 to 873 of the family's 1533-position model. The record is from RNAcentral.